UGGGGAAUAUUGGACAAUGGGCGAAAGCCUGAUCCAGCAAUGCCGCGAGAGUGAUGAAGGCUUUAGGGGUGUAAAGCUCUUUUACCAGGGAUGAUAAUGACAGUACCUGGAGAAUAAGCUCCGGCUAACUACGUGCCAGCAGCCGCGGUAAUACGGAGGGAGCUAGCGUUGUUCGGAAUUACUGGGCGUAAAGCGCACGUAGGCGGCGACUCAAGUCAGAGGUGAAAGCCCGGGGCUCAACCCCGGAACUGCCUUUGAAACUAGGUUGCUACAGUCUUGGAGAGGUCAGUGGAAUUCCGAGUGUAAAGGUGAGAUUCGUAGAUAAUCGGAAGAACACCAGUGGCGAAGGCGACUGACUAGACAAGUAUUGACGCUGAGGUGCGAAAGCGUGGGGAGCAAACAGG
Molecule: ribosomal RNA, 404 nt
Filed under: Bacillota bacterium
Lineage: Bacteria; Bacillati; Bacillota
Description: Firmicutes bacterium partial 16S ribosomal RNA
Rfam family: Bacterial small subunit ribosomal RNA
Source: RNAcentral